ACACGACCCCAGGUCAGGCGGGGCCACCCGCUGAGCUUAAGCAUAUCAAUAAGCGGAGGAGAAGAAACUUACCAGGAUUCCCCUAGUAACGGCGAGCGAACCGGGAAGAGCCCAGCUUGGGAAUCGGGCGGCCGCGCCGUCCGAAUUGUAGUCUGGAGAAGCGUCCUCAGCGACGGACCGGGCCCAAGUCCUCUGGAAAGGGGCGCCAGGGAGGGUGAGAGCCCCGUCCGGCCCGGACCCUGCUGCACCACGAGGCGCUGUCGGCGAGUCGGGUUGUUUGGGAAUGCAGCCCCAAUCGGGCGGUAAAUUCCUUGCAAGGCUAAAUACUCCUGGGUGACCGAUAGCGAAGUAGUACCGUGAGGGAAAGGUGAAAAGGACUUUGAAAAGAGAGUCAAAGAGUGCUUGAAAUUGCCGGGAGGGAAGCGGAUGGGGGCCGGCGAUGCGUGCCGGCCGGAUGCGGAACG
Molecule: ribosomal RNA, 464 nt
Filed under: Liriope spicata
Lineage: Eukaryota; Viridiplantae; Streptophyta; Magnoliopsida; Asparagales; Asparagaceae
Description: eukaryotic LSU rRNA
Rfam family: Eukaryotic large subunit ribosomal RNA
Source: RNAcentral